GGGGUUGUGGCUUAAGUGGUAGAGCGCUCGCCUGGCAUGCGUGCGGCCUGGGUUCGAUCCUCAGCACCA
RNAcentral lists this transfer RNA (69 nucleotides) under Ictidomys tridecemlineatus (thirteen-lined ground squirrel). Its description in RNAcentral is "Spermophilus tridecemlineatus (thirteen-lined ground squirrel) tRNA". It matches the Rfam family "tRNA". Rfam says of the family: Transfer RNA (tRNA) molecules are approximately 80 nucleotides in length. The record is from Rfam by way of RNAcentral. Lineage: Eukaryota; Metazoa; Chordata; Mammalia; Rodentia; Sciuridae.